This is a long non-coding RNA of Drosophila pseudoobscura, 691 nucleotides long. RefSeq lists it as uncharacterized. The record is from RefSeq and is a predicted model, not a curated record. Lineage: Eukaryota; Metazoa; Arthropoda; Insecta; Diptera; Drosophilidae. The transcript has 2 exons.
GGAGCCCCGUUGAAAGAGAACUUUGUCGCAUCGAGGAUGGCGACAGAACCCUGCAUCUAAGCACUACUCAGGAUUGCUAGUGUGUUUUAUGCAUGUUUCGUGUCGCAGGCGAUGCGAUACAAUGGUGAGAGGAGAUCCAAGAUCAUACUUGAUGCACAAUUUGGAACCAGCCAUCGCUAACCAUCACGGCAUUCGCUUGGAGAAGGUAGCAUUGAAGGCGGGUAGCAUAGAUCAUAGCGGAUGGACUGUUUCUCGACGAUCUGGAGCAAAGGGUCUCAUCUCAUCCGGACCUCUCGUGCUUGGAGACUUUAUCUCAGAACCAACUGGACAAGCAUGAUGAACUUGGCCUGCCCUGCAUCCCAGUAACCGAUAGCUAUCGUACUGUCAUCAUUCGAAGUUGGCGCCCAGCGAUUUCGGCCUCGCCCCAGAACAAACGCACGGCUGCUGCUUCAGCUGGGGCGAGCACAAAAUGGCUGCGCGCCAACUACGAAUGAUGAGAGCGAGAGUGCUGUCGGUUACCGGGACGGAGGGCGGGCCAAGCUCCUCGUACCUGUCCAGUUGGCUCUUGGAUAAUGUCUCCAGGCCCGUGCUCCUGGCUCUCCAAGUAAGAGAGCUUCGAUAUGUUUGCACCAGUUGUGAAACAAAAACGCAAACAAAGAUACAAAUUAAAAUAGAGAGAUGACGACGACAA